UUAUUUAAAAAAACAGUUAUACUCUUAAUAAACUGUAAUCCUUCCUGUUAAGUCUUAGUCAAAAUUCUCAAGACAACAGCUCCAUUUUCCUACAGCACAGAGAUGAAAGUGAUAAAUGGUGCUAAAAGGCAUCAACCAUUUUCUCUCACUAACAUGUAGCCCCUACAAAGGCAAGGGCUUUUUUUACCCUUUGCUCACUGAAAUAUUUCUAGUCUGUGGAAUAAUUCUUGACAUGGGUUAAACCUUGAAAAA
Perognathus longimembris pacificus (Pacific pocket mouse) is the source of this 252-nucleotide long non-coding RNA. RefSeq lists it as uncharacterized. The transcript has 3 exons. Lineage: Eukaryota; Metazoa; Chordata; Mammalia; Rodentia; Heteromyidae. The record is from RefSeq and is a predicted model, not a curated record.